AAGUCGUAACAAGGUCUCCGUUGGUGAACCAGCGGAGGGAUCAUUGCUGGAACGCGCCCCAGGCGCACCCAGAAACCCUUUGUGAACUUAUACCUUACUGUUGCCUCGGCGCAUGCCGGCCCCCCGGGCCUGGCCCUCCUCGGAGGAGCAGGCACGCCGGCGGCCAACCUAACUCUUGUAUUUACACUGAAACUCUGAGGAUAAAACAUAAAUGAAUCAAAA
RNAcentral lists this unclassified non-coding RNA (222 nucleotides) under plant metagenome. RNAcentral describes it as "partial contains small subunit ribosomal RNA and internal transcribed spacer 1". The stretch from base 1 to 46 matches the Rfam family "Eukaryotic small subunit ribosomal RNA", at positions 1786 to 1831 of the family's 1831-position model. The record is from RNAcentral.